Non-coding RNA from Chrysemys picta bellii (western painted turtle), 3140 nucleotides. Lineage: Eukaryota; Metazoa; Chordata; Testudines; Emydidae. The record is from RefSeq and is a predicted model, not a curated record.
CACGCCGGGCCAACACCAGCUUCCCCACACACACACACUUCAAGGCCGAGCCACGACUCUCCCCCUGGCACCGGGGGGGUGGUGACGUUUCAUCCGCCCCAGCCCUUUGCCCGGCUUAUCGCAGAGCAAACAGCCCAGGCCAGGGAGACGCGACUGGGAAUCCUCCGGCUCCGGGCAGCGGCCCCCCCAAAUCCUCCGGCUCCGGGCAGCGGGUGCCCCGAUCUCCCCCCGGCUCCAGGCAGUGACGUCCCGCCCCUUCCCGAGCCAUGUGCACGGGGCGCUGCUCGCGGCUCGUGGGGCUGGCGCUGGUGCCCAUGGCGCUGGGCUGCAUCGUGGCCAACGUCCUGCUGAUGUUCCCCAACGGGGAGACGGGCUGGACCGAGCACCUCACCCUGCAGGUCUGGCUGAUGGGGGGCCUGGUCGGCGGGGGGCUCAUGGUGAGUGGAGCAGCACGGGGGGAGGGGACCCUGAGCCAGAACGACCUCCCGCCCCACUCCCCCCGCCGGGCCUCAGCUUCGUGUGUCUGUCCUCCUGUCCCACCCAGCUCCCGCCCAUCUCAGGGCUUUCUGUCUGUCCAGGCCGCUGGGUCCCCCCGUCUGUCCAACUGGCUAUCCCUGCGCACACCUGGCCACGUGUCCCUCCGCACCUUGUCCCGCCAUCUGUGUGCGCCUCUGUCCCGCAUCCCCCUGUCUGUCUGUCCCUCUGUUCCGCGUCCCCCCAUCUGUCCCUCUGUUCCACAUCCCCCUGUCUGUCCGUCCCUCCGAGCCACGUCCCCCCAUCUGUGUGCGCCUCUGUCCUGUGUCUCCCCAUCUGUCCUGCAUCCCCCUCAUCUGUCCCUCUGUUCCGCAUCUCCCCGUCUGUCUGUCCCUCCGAGCCACAUUCCCCCCCAUCUGUCCCGCAUCUCCCCAUCCCUCUGCGCCCUGUCCCUCCGUCUGUCCCAUGUCCCCCCAUCUGCCCGUCCCUCCGCGCCUUGUCCCCAUCUGUCCCUCUGUCCCGCAUCUCCCCAUCUGUCUGUCCCUCCGAGGCGCAUCCCUUCAUCUGUCCCAUGUCUCCCGCAUCUGCCCGUCCCUCCGUGCCUUGUCCCCCCGUCUGUGUGCGCCUCUGUCCCGCAUCUCCCCAUUUGUCUGUCCCUCCACACCUUGUCCCUCCAUCUGUCCCAUGUCCCCCCAUCUGCCCUUCCCUCUGCGCCUUGUCCCUCCGUCUGUCCUGCAUCCCCCCGUCUGUCUGUCCCUCUGCGCCGUGUCCCCGUGUCUGUCCCAUGUCCCCCCAUCUGCCCGUCCCUCCGAGCCACGUCCCCACCAUCUGUCUGCCCCUCCGAGCUGCGUCCCCCAUCUGUCUGUCCCUCCCCGCAUGUCAUGUUCCCACCUCUUUGUCUGCCUGGCCCUCCAUCCGUGCGCACGUCCCCCCUGCCGACCCGGUCUCUCUGCCCCCCUCCCCCGGGUGCUGCCAGCAUGUGGGGCGUGGGGGGAAAGGGGAGAUGCGGUGAUCGCCGGGGGUUGCUCCAGGGUACGCGUUGUUCGGCAGCCCUGUGUGCGACAGGGACGUGCGACCCGUGGGGAGAGACACGCUCAUCGGAUUCCCUCCCGGGGAGACCCGGGGCCGAGUCGCGGAGAAGCUCCAGCGGGAGCUUCGAGGACCGAACCUUGACUCCUUCGCCCGCCCCGCAUUGGCCAAGCGACAGCCCCCAGCUGGCGGGUGAAGACAUGAGGUGCUGGGGGCGUCCGGCACGCUCUCGGAGUUGCUCCUGGGACAUUGGGUAAAGGCUGGGGCGUGGCACAGACCCUGUGAAUCGGUGACGGGGGUACGCAUUGGACGAGGACCCAAAGACAUCCCCACCCCCAGAUACCUUGCGCGGAAACUUUGCUUGGGCUGGUUUCCGCUACAGGUCUGUAUCCCACCGCUGCCACUAACAGCGUCCCGACCUGCCCCUUCCUGGGCACGGCCACCCCGGGGUCCGUAGCUCCGCCCAGCGACCUCUGUUCUCUUGAUCACUGGCCAGACACGUACCCGUCGGGCAAGUCCUUGUCACCGGUAAUGACCCCCCGGCUGAUGGGGUGUCCCGGAUCCACGGGCUCGGCACUACAGCCCGGCUUUUAAACUGCCCCUUGGAGGGACCAGGCUGGGUCGGUCCCAUUCUUCCUUCAGGGUCGGCCCAGGCAGCCUCACCGCCUCCACGGCCGAGUCUCCUGUCCCCAGCCCUCCGCAUGCUCGACCUUGUGCGUCCCACCGAGCCAGACCCCUCUGCCGGGACCCACUGGGGUCCGAUCCAGAUUGCAGCAGGCUCCUGAGACACCACCCCCCGCCCCAGGAUCUGGGCCCGGAGUGCUCGCUGCCCCAGAUUUGUGUGUGGAUGGAAGCGCCGGGGGCUAGGUCUCAAACCGGAGCCAGCGCUUGUGCCGUGUAGACAUUCCCGGAGAGCUCCCCUCUUAACCCAGCCGCCUGGCCUUAGGUCCUCCGGCUCGGGGCCUUUCCUCAUUUCCCUGCAGAGCAGUGGGGGAUGGGGGAAUCUCUUGGCGAUAAGUGGCUUGGUGGGGUUCACUGCCCCUUGUCUCUUCUGGUGCCUCUGCUCCCCCCUUGGAUGCUCAGGGCACAGCAAGGCAGAGCCCAGAGGGAAACUGAGGCACACUUAGGCCGCAUAACAAUUUCUCGCGCAUUCCCACCCUCCUCACACAUGGUCCCUUCCCCACAGGGAAUCGUAUUGAUUGGGGGUGGGGCUGUGCGUGCUGGGGAGCAUCCCGUGCCAGCGCUUCCCCCCACUGCUAGCUUCCUUUUUCGACCAUGUACACCCCGUUUGCCCUUUGCCCUGGCGCUGCCGAUAUCAGGCGGCUGAUACCGGGGCCUUAUCGGCCGAUACCGGUGACACAGCCACUCGGGAGGGGCCUGGGGAACUGCCUGACACCGGAUGGGCCCGUGGGACUGAUUGCGGGGGGCGGGGCGGGGGGUUAGGAGCUGCUGGUUUUGAUCUGUGUCCCCCCCCACCCCCAUUUCAGGUUCUCUGCCCCGGGCUCUCGGCCAUCCGCGCCGGGGGGAAGGGCUGCUGUGGAGUCGGAUGCUGCGGGAACCGGUGCCGGAUGCUGCGCUCCGUGUUCUGCUCGCUAUGGGGCGUCCUGGGGGGGUUUUACUGCCUGGUUGUGUCUGCC